GACGAACGCUGGCGGCGUGCCUAAUACAUGCAAGUUGAGCGCUGAAGGUUGGUACUUGUACCAACUGGAUGAGCAGCGAACGGGUGAGUAACGCGUGGGGAAUCUGCCUUUGAGCGGGGGACAACAUUUGGAAACGAAUGCUAAUACCGCAUAAAAACUUUAAACACAAGUUUUAAGUUUGAAAGAUGCAAUUGCAUCACUCAAAGAUGAUCCCGCGUUGUAUUAGCUAGUUGGUGAGGUAAAGGCUCACCAAGGCGAUGAUACAUAGCCGACCUGAGAGGGUGAUCGGCCACAUUGGGACUGAGACACGGCCCAAACUCCUACGGGAGGCAGCAGUAGGGAAUCUUCGGCAAUGGACGAAAGUCUGACCGAGCAACGCCGCGUGAGUGAAGAAGGUUUUCGGAUCGUAAAACUCUGUUGGCAGAGAAGAACGUUGGUGAGAGUGGAAAGCUCAUAAAGUGACGGUAACUACCCAGAAAGGGACGGCUAACUACGUG
Molecule: ribosomal RNA, 497 nt
Filed under: uncultured bacterium
Lineage: Bacteria
Description: partial 16S ribosomal RNA
Rfam family: Bacterial small subunit ribosomal RNA
Source: RNAcentral